GAUGAACGCUAGCGGCAGGCUUAACACAUGCAAGUCGAGGGGCAGCGAGAGAGUGGCAAUACUUUUGUCGGCGACCGGCGGACGGGUGCGUAACGCGUAUGCAACCUACCUUAUACAGGGGGAUAACCUUUCGAAAGGGAGACUAAUACCGCAUAACAUUACUUUGAGGCAUCUUGAGGUAAUUAAAUCUUCGGAGGUAUAAGAUGGGCAUGCGUAGCAUUAGCUAGAUGGUGCGGUAACGGCGUACCAUGGCGACGAUGCUUAGGGGUUCUGAGAGGAAGGUCCCCCACACUGGUACUGAGAUACGGACCAG
Molecule: ribosomal RNA, 313 nt
Filed under: uncultured bacterium
Lineage: Bacteria
Description: bacterial SSU rRNA
Rfam family: Bacterial small subunit ribosomal RNA
Source: RNAcentral